GUGAGGCAGAAAGGAAAAGCCGGUUGAGGAAAAAAGUCUACACUCCGAGGAUUGCGCCUUAUGCGAGGAAUUUGAUGUGGUUCGUGAGCAAUGGGCCAAGUUUUUUACCAGCAAGUAUUUAUUAUUGGCUUUAGCGCGCUUGAUCGAGUUGGUUUAGUUGUUAUAGAAUAAAUUUUAUAUUAAAAUGUAUGUUUAUGUUGAAAUUGGAACAUAUAUUUAAAUGUAAUAUGUGCACUUAAUUUGGUUUUGGGAUAUAUAGUAUACAAAACUCCAGUUGUUGUUUUUA
Molecule: long non-coding RNA, 286 nt
Organism: Spinacia oleracea (spinach)
Lineage: Eukaryota; Viridiplantae; Streptophyta; Magnoliopsida; Caryophyllales; Amaranthaceae
Exons: 2
Source: RefSeq, a predicted model, not a curated record